UCAGUGUAGUGCUCAGCAGUAAUUCGC
This 27-nucleotide small RNA is filed under the name Bombyx mori (domestic silkworm). RNAcentral describes it as "ovarian small RNA-25816". Lineage: Eukaryota; Metazoa; Arthropoda; Insecta; Lepidoptera; Bombycidae. The record is from RNAcentral.